UGAACAAGGAUUAUGCAUCCAACUCACAGACGUUCUCUGAAAAUCUUCAUAUGCCCUCGAAAGUUUUCGUCUUUUCCACCCUCGAAAGCAUUGUUCCAAAAAAAUGUGUUUUUCACUGAAAUAUUUUCCUGUUUGCGAACAUUCGAAAACAAGAAAAACUUCUUUUGAGACAAAACUGUUUGCAAACAAAAUAUUUCAUCAUUAAAAAUUAGUUUUAAUAAAUAUUCUAUACAAUCUUAUAUACAGGGUGUCCCCCAAAAAACGAAAACUAUUGAAAUAAAUGUAUUGUUAAAAUUUGAAUGCCUCUGCAGCAUUCUUCUGAACCCACACGUGCAUCAAAGCUUGACGCGUAAGUAAAUUUUAUGCAUAAAGAAACCGUUUAAGAAGCUGUUUUAAAUUCCCAACGGAGCAGAAAAUCGUGCGCUAGCUUUACAAAGAUAUUUUAAGUUCUUAAUAAGUCAAUAUUUGAAUAUAUGCACCUUGUCAAUAUUUUACGCACUUUGCGUUCCCAGCUUAGUGCUAGGGCAUUCAAAUUUUAACAAUACGUUAUUUCAAUGGGUUUUUCGUUUUUGGGGACACCCUGUACAGGGUAUAUACAAAAAAGUGCUGGGGCCAAGAAUUAUCGUGUCCACCAGGAUACUGUUUCACAACAACAUAUACCUUCAAAAACGGCACAGUGGCUGUUACAAGAUCCUGUGGCUUUAUGCUUUGCCCCGAUGCUCGCAGUACGUGCAACGGUCUAAACAUAGCACGGAAUCUAAAAUACUGCGCUGCCGCGUGUUGUGAGACCGACAAUUGCAACAAUUAUAUACCCCCAAGGGCAAUUUGUUCAACAGCAGCAUGGCAACUGGUGUCGUGACUAUCAAGUUUAUUCCCUGUUUGAUGGUUAUUGCUGGUUUUCUUUUCGCUUGAUGUACUUUGCGUUUUGUACGAGUCCUAUAAUGUAGUUUUGUAGCUUAAUUCGUUUGCUUUAAACUGCUUAUUCAAAACACGUUGUUUAAUUAAAGAACUAUAUUUGUAUUCAUUUAGUAAGAGAUCAUGUAAUAAAUCAAUGAAAUUAAAGUAAUCAGAUCUACUAAAUAAACUAGCUUUGGACAAAAAGCGAACUAUGCC
Molecule: non-coding RNA, 1113 nt
Organism: Paramuricea clavata
Lineage: Eukaryota; Metazoa; Cnidaria; Anthozoa; Malacalcyonacea; Plexauridae
Source: the annotation of a GenBank genome assembly